UGAGAACUUACUCAGAGAUUUUAGUCUACUCAGGUGUGAACUUAAUCAAAAGUUUAGUCUACUCAGGUGUGAAUUAAGAAUGGUCAGUCCUUUGGAAAACUUCUACUGUGAUUGGUAGAUGUGAGAACUUAGGGGAGGCGACAUAGGAGAAAAUUCCCUUUAAAAGGAGGUCAAAAAGAGGUCUCUGGAGAUUCAGCUGAGAAAAGCUGAAUUGGAGGAGGCAGCUGGCCAAAGCUGCCUUGAAGGCACUCUUUUGGGACUCCCUCUCAGAGAACUCUCUGGAGAUUGAGCUGGCCAAAGCUGAACUGGUGUCUCUCUGAACACUAGAAUCUUGCUUGGACAAAUCUUGUGGUUAUCAUAUUUUGAAGUCCCAUCAAGAUCCCAAAGUUUCUGUGUCCUGGACCACCUGCUAAAAUGACACCAGAUGUGGGGAGCCCACAGGAACCAAUUAAAUUCCAGUCUGGGCUUAACUUGGCAGAUUGACUGGAUGAGAAAACUGAGACAAAGAGGUAUUAGACGACUUCCCCAAGGCCACAAAACUAGAUGGGAGCUUGAUGCAUGUUGCAAUGACUGAACAACUAUCCUGCGAUGGAUGCUUCUCACCUUGGUUCCUAAUAAGCCUAAAGCCAACUCUAACAUACAUAAGGAAGCCUGGAGGAACACACUUUGGGGAAAAUGAUGACUUUGGUUAAUGGAGAUGUUGAGUUAAAAAAAAAUUAUUCAAGUUUGGGAAAAUUGUUACAUUAUACAAAAUUAUAUUACAUAUGAUGUAUAUGCAAUUUGGGAUAAUUAUUCAGAAUAAUAUGUUUUCAGAUUCUGUGACAGAAAUGGCCAUCAUAGGUGAGAACAUAAACUGUAUGGGUAAAUUCUAUAGGAAGAAUUGAUAUUCCUAUUACUUGUAAAAAAGAAAAUUCAGUGCUCAUAAACAAGCUACAUAACAAAGAAAUUCCAUUCUAAAAUUUAAUUUAGCUUUUAGAGCAUGAAGAUCCCCGUUUUUACACUUAAAACACUCCAUGAUUCUGCACGGCAUUCCCCAUGUCUCACCCUUCAGUUUCACACUCCUUGUAUGGCUUAAUACAGGAAAUGUACCACAUAAAUAACAAAACAUACUGAAUUAACCCAGCCCCAAUCCUACUUCAGAUACAAAUUCCCAUGGAAACCUUACUAACCAGGUGGGAGUAAAGUCAAAUUUUUUUAGGCCCUCAGCUCGAUUGCCAUUAAAAGCUAGGAAUUUUAUUUCCAUGUCCCAACACUUUUUUGAAUCAGCCCUGAGUAUAAGAAAGCCACAAUUCUUCCCAAAUCUUUUGCUUUGAAGAUAUCUAACUGUAUUUGAAAAUGGAAUAUAUUUUCAUAUUUUCUGUUAAAUUAUAUCUGUAAAUCUUUUUGGAAGGCAAACACUGUGACACAACCUUUUAGCUCCUCAAAGAGGGGGAUGUGGGAUAUGCAAAAAUGACUGCAAAUAACUACUUUGCACCUACGUGUUUGCAUCCUCAAUCGCUCUCCCCUCCCCCCUCCGCGUUCUGGAGGUAAAGGUUUAUU
RNAcentral lists this long non-coding RNA (1539 nucleotides) under Monodelphis domestica (gray short-tailed opossum). Its description in RNAcentral is "lncRNA (ENSMODG00000039019.1)". Lineage: Eukaryota; Metazoa; Chordata; Mammalia; Didelphimorphia; Didelphidae. The record is from RNAcentral.